RNAcentral lists this transfer RNA (74 nucleotides) under Paracoccaceae bacterium. Its description in RNAcentral is "tRNA-Gly". It matches the Rfam family "tRNA". Rfam says of the family: Transfer RNA (tRNA) molecules are approximately 80 nucleotides in length. Their secondary structure includes four short double-helical elements and three loops (D, anti-codon, and T loops). Further hydrogen bonds mediate the characteristic L-shaped molecular structure. tRNAs have two regions of fundamental functional importance: the anti-codon, which is responsible for specific mRNA codon recognition, and the 3' end, to which the tRNAs corresponding amino acid is attached (by aminoacyl-tRNA synthetases). tRNAs cope with the degeneracy of the genetic code in two manners: having more than one tRNA (with a specific anti-codon) for a particular amino acid; and 'wobble' base-pairing, i.e. permitting non-standard base-pairing at the 3rd anti-codon position. The record is from RNAcentral. Lineage: Bacteria; Pseudomonadati; Pseudomonadota; Alphaproteobacteria; Rhodobacterales; Paracoccaceae.
GCGGGCGUAGCUCAAUGGUAGAGCCACAGCCUUCCAAGCUGAAGACGUGGGUUCGAUUCCCAUCGCCCGCUCCA